GAAAUGCGAUAAGUAAUGUGAAUUGCAGAAUUCAGUGAAUCAUCGAAUCUUUGAACGCACCUUGUGCUCCUUGGUAUUCCUUGGAGCAUGCCUGUUUGAGUAUCAUGAAAUCUUCAAAGUAAAUCUUUUGUUAACUCAAUUGGUUUCUACUUUGGUAUUGGAGGUCUUUGCAGCUUCACACCUGCUCCUCUUUGUUCAUUAGCUGGAUCUCAGUGUUAUGCUUGGUUCCACUCGGCGUGAUAAGUUAUCUAUCGCUGAGGACACUGUAAAAGGUGGCCAAGGUAAAUGCAGAUGAACCGCUUCUAAUAGUCCAUUGACUUGGACAAUACUUUUAUGAUCUGAUCUCAAAUCAGGUAGGACUACCCGCUGAACCUAAGC
This 378-nucleotide unclassified non-coding RNA is filed under the name plant metagenome. RNAcentral describes it as "partial contains 5.8S ribosomal RNA, internal transcribed spacer 2, and large subunit ribosomal RNA". The stretch from base 1 to 105 matches the Rfam family "5.8S ribosomal RNA", at positions 50 to 154 of the family's 154-position model. The record is from RNAcentral.